Molecule: ribosomal RNA, 344 nt
Filed under: Papilio memnon agenor
Lineage: Eukaryota; Metazoa; Arthropoda; Insecta; Lepidoptera; Papilionidae
Description: partial 16S ribosomal RNA
Source: RNAcentral
UCAAUAGUCUCUUAAUUGGUGACUUGUAUGAAAGAUUGGAUGAAAUAUAUACUGUCUCUAAUUAAUUUAUAGAAAUUAAUUUUUUAGUAAAAAAGCUAAAAUAAUUUUAAAAGACGAGAAGACCCUAUAGAGUUUAAUAAUUUAUUUAAUUAUAUUUAUUAUAUAAUUUUUAAAAUUAAAAUUAAAUGAAUUAUUUUGUUGGGGUGAUAGAAAAAUUAAAUUAACUUUUUUUAAUUGUUAACAUUAAUUUAUGAUUAAAUGAUCCAUUAAUAAUGAUUAAAAGAAAAAAUUACCUUAGGGAUAACAGCGUAAUUUUUUUUUUUAGUUCAAAUAGGAAAAAAAGU